CAAAUGGCCCUUUUCAGGACCACUAAAAUGUUUUUUUUGAGUUUUUU
This is a non-coding RNA of Aedes aegypti (yellow fever mosquito), 47 nucleotides long. The record is from Rfam. Lineage: Eukaryota; Metazoa; Arthropoda; Insecta; Diptera; Culicidae.